UACGUAGGGGGCGAGCGUUACCCGGAAUCACUGGGCGUAAAGAGUGCGUAGGUGGUCAUAUUAGUCGUUUGUUAAACACCCGGGCUCAACCUGGGGAAUGCGGGCGAAACGGUAUGACUAGAGGGAGUGAGAGGUGAAUGGAACUCAUGGUGUAGGGGUGAAAUCCGUUGAUAUCAUGGGGAACACCGAAAGCGAAGGCAGUUCACUGGCACUUUCCUGACACUCAAGCACGAAAGCGUGGGUAGCGAACGGG
RNAcentral lists this ribosomal RNA (253 nucleotides) under uncultured bacterium. RNAcentral's name for it is "partial 16S ribosomal RNA". It matches the Rfam family "Bacterial small subunit ribosomal RNA", at positions 524 to 776 of the family's 1533-position model. The record is from RNAcentral.